UACGUAGGGUGCAAGCGUUGUCCGGAAUUAUUGGGCGUAAAGAGCUCGUAGGCGGUCUGUCGCGUCUGCUGUGAAAACUCGGGGCUUAACCCCGGGCCUGCAGUGGGUACGGGCAGACUAGAGUGCGGUAGGGGAGACUGGAAUUCCUGGUGUAGCGGUGAAAUGCGCAGAUAUCAGGAGGAACACCAGUGGCGAAGGCGGCACUCUGGGCCGGAACUGACGCUGAGGAGCGAAAGCGUGGGGAGCGAACAGG
This 253-nucleotide ribosomal RNA is filed under the name uncultured bacterium. RNAcentral's name for it is "partial 16S ribosomal RNA". It matches the Rfam family "Bacterial small subunit ribosomal RNA", at positions 524 to 776 of the family's 1533-position model. The record is from RNAcentral.